UUUAGAAGUCUUCCCUGGAAAGAAAUCUGGCUCUGAAUCAUAUGUACAGGCAAUCGUAUUCUAGCGAUUUUGAGGAAGUCUCAUUACUGUUUCCAGCAUGAGAACCAGGAAGCCUAAAGGCGGCGGGAUGGUGAAGAGUUUUUAUUUUUAUUUCUAAUAAAGAACAACAAAACACCUGCA
This is a long non-coding RNA of Oxyura jamaicensis (ruddy duck), 180 nucleotides long. RefSeq lists it as uncharacterized. The record is from RefSeq and is a predicted model, not a curated record. The transcript has 2 exons. NCBI's taxonomy places the organism in Eukaryota, Metazoa, Chordata, Aves, Anseriformes, Anatidae.